UCCUGGUUAGCUCAGUUGGUAAAGCUCUCCACUGGAAAUUGAGAGGUCCAAGAUUCAAUACCAGGAU
This 67-nucleotide transfer RNA is filed under the name Ixodes scapularis (black-legged tick). RNAcentral's name for it is "tRNA-Ser". Lineage: Eukaryota; Metazoa; Arthropoda; Arachnida; Ixodida; Ixodidae. The record is from RNAcentral.